UUAAUUUAAAUUAUUAUUAUUAUGUGAUUGUGGUUUCUUGUAAUAGAGAGACAGAUCUACGGUAUCACAAUCUGUAAUAAUCUGGGUGUACAGAAUUUUGAGUGAGGUUAGGGAAUGCAAGAAACUUUUGAGGUGUAUCCCACUUGGCUGAGAUACUACCAUUUCAAGUCGCUCCCGUCACGGCUGCCACGGCAUGUUAACCUCCCACUGUGCUUGGAAAACGGCAUUUUUUCCGGCUCGAUGCACAAACAGUAUUUUUCCGGGCUGUUGCAAUAGAGCAUUGGCGUUCAAAUCCAAGUAGACAACUGGUCAAGCACGUGAGUAAAAGAAACAAUAUGGCAAGAGCAUCUUGCACGGUUGAAAAAAUUUAUUUAAAAAAGUAGUGAAUUCUCUAGGAAAUAAUAUAGAAUUUUCAUAAUACUACUUCUUCUUGUAUUGAUUUCAUUGGAAUGUUGAAUAUAAAACAAUCUAUAUUACUGAGAUGAAUUUACGUCUACGCAUACAGGUUGAAAAAAAAUACAUUGUUUCUUUUUCACGACUCGAAUUUGGUUCCACGGGCAAAAAAGAAAAUGAAGCCUACUAUUCAGGAGGAUGAUAAAAGCAGUGUAUUAUAAAAUUUUUAUUUGCUGAUGAAGUUGUAAAUAGUUCAGCUAUGAGAGUGAUAUUUCGAUGGUUCAAGAUUAGUGCUCCUGUGAUAUAGCAGUGAUGCGGGAUUUUAUAUCUAUCACGGUGAACUUGCUUCAGUCAUGAGCGUAACGGUGUUCAAAGGUAAUACCGAGGUCGUUUACCGUUGUGCGAUCCACAAACUCCAGGGAGAUAUCUCUCAGUAGAAUAUACUGAAUGUAAGCUGGUAUUUUGCCUUCAUCUCUAACUUUUUCCUUUUUUUUUUUUAAUCUCUCACAUGAUGUUUCUCUGGUGGCCAAUUCUCCUUUCGUAUUGAACAUAACUUCCUGGAUUCUUACUCAUUCUCAUCGGUAAAUAAAUUAACGUACUUACUGAAUUUUCAAUAUUUGUGUCCUUAAAGUACGUUAUUCACGUGAAAUGAUGAAGGAUAAAAUGGAUGAUGCCUACUUAGGAAGCAAUUAUUUAUUAAAAAAUUUUAUAUGACUUCAUCUGUUAAUCAAACAAAUAAAAAUACUCUUCAAUGGUAAAAAAAACUUAAAUUUAAUAAACCUGUCAUCAUGAAUUCAGAUUUCCUGUCAUUGGCAUUUGGUGCUGUUUUUUGCCUGAGUUGUGAGAUAUUUCCUAACCGCACUUGAAUCAUAAGGAUGGUUCUGUUUCAACCAAAAUGAGCAAUCAAUUCCUGCAUGAGGAAUCUUAACAAUUGGGGAUAAGUCCUUACAAAUAAAGGGUUCCUUUAUGGGUGUAUAUGCUUAUCGCAAUUCUAUGUGAUUAAUCGCAUAUGUUCGGAUAUAAUAACGAAAUAGUAAUCUAGAUUGUUGGAAAGCUUGAAUAGUGGCUUCAUACUACCUGCAAUGGAAUGAUGCAUGCGGGUACUUUGACCUCAUUCGUUAUAUUCAAAAGACACGGUUGAUGAUUUACUAAUGGAUUUUACAUGGUGAGAAAAAAAAUGCUCGAGGAAGCAAUAUAGAAAUAAGGUAUAUGCAGAUCGCUACGUCAUUUGAAUGCGCAAUGUUCUGGUCAUUACUCCCGCGUAGCCCGCGUGGCCAGCGUAAUAAUAAACAUUUAUUCUACUUUUAUCAUUCCAAAUACCUAUGUAGCAGUAAUAUCGUAAAUAUUAAAAAAAUAUUGGUUACCUUUCGAUACGUCAUUCGUUUGGAACAGGUUUGCCAAAUGUGACAGCGUUUUUUUUUGUCAUUCAGUCAUUUAGAAAAAGUUAUUUAAAAACAAAUUAUUGAGUAACCUGGAAUUUUUAAUAUUUUCAUGAAAAAAAUAAUACCAACUGAAAGUUUUUCAUUAUUUCCUUAUUGUUUUUGAAAAUUAUAAUAUUUUCCUUUAAAAUGGCAGAUUUAUGUUUCUUCAUAUUACAAGUUUAGAUUGUGGCUAUGUUUGCAUGAAAGUGGCAGUGUUGAUGAUGAGAGGUGUAAAAAUAAGUACUCAACAUUAAAGAGUCCUACUGCAAAGAAAAAUAAGGAAAGAGAGUUAUCGGAGGAAUGGCGGGAAAGAAUCCCUAUGAAUUUACUACCUAGAAAAUUCUUGGAUGAAUUGCGUUUAGUAACUACGGACGAUUGAACCAAGUGGGAGACGAACGGAAAUGCGUGUAAGUUGUGUAGGUAUUAUGUAGACGAUGGAAGGUUGCUCUGCUAGUAUUUGUUAAACGUUGCGCGAGUUCUCGGUCAGGGCUGGCUGCCAGGAAAGAGAAGGGGGAGAACAUAAGGUCAAUGUCCAGGCGGCGCCUAAGAUCCUUCUCCUUGUGAGACAGUUGAGGCAGGUCAUGAUCAAGCAUUGCGGUGGGAAGCAUUGAUUCCAACACUCCUCACAAUUCCUUUUUUACGGAGAAAUGUGAAAAAAUAUUUCUAUCUAAAGUUUGAAAGCUUGAGUGAUUUUGAAUAUUGCACAUGAAAUUUUAUUUCCACUGGCAACAAUCUGAAUCCUAGAAUAUACUCACUAUUUCCUUUCAUUAUUUUGGACUAUGUAUAAAUUCUGCAUUAUCAGCAAUAAUGUGCUUAAAAAUAAGGACAUACAGUCAACUUUCAACGAUAAAUGUGAAAGAAAAACAAUGCAUAAUCGAAUAAACAGGUGAGAAGUCAAUGAAAUGAAGGAAGAAGUUCAAAUUCAAUUUUAUCCAUGAAAAAGUAGUAGCUAAUUAUGUAUUGUUCAAAAACUUAUAUUGUUAUAAUUAAAUGUUGAUUGAAUGAGUUGAUGAAAUGCAAGGACGCAACUGACUCAGGCAUUGAACUCGCCAAGUCGUAUGCACUUAUUCUCAUAGACUUAUAUACUUAUUCAAAUACUCGUCAAUGCUUGCACCUACCAAGACAUUGCAAAUGAAGAUCAUUUAAAAAAAAUUCAUUUUGAAUGCAGUUCCAAGUGGAUGCAAGUGAUUUCAUAAUUUAAUAAGGUAAUAAUUGAAAAAUAUAUCCAUUUUCUUUUGGUGGAAGACGAUACCAGUAUCCGCUAUCCCGGGACUAUUAUCUGAAGAUAGAGCUUGGUGAGCUCUACGGGGAAAUUACGAACGCUGAGUUAGGGUCAAGGACCGACAUUUGUAGGCUCUCGCAGCAAUGAAAAUCUUUCUUUAGAGAAUUUACAUCUUAUCCAAUUAUAGGAAUUCAAUAUGCACAUAUAAUGAGCAAAGAAGUUUGAGGUUUUCUGAGAAUUAUGAGAUGAAUUUAAAAGUAAGUGAUGUUAUUUGCACUUAUUCAUAUAAUAACUAAACAGGGACGUAAUCAUGAUUUUACGAUGAUAGAUAUUUUCAGGCUAAUGAUCAUUAAUCAGAAAAUAUUAAAUUAGAUUGUGAAAAUAUAUUUUCUCUUAUUUCAAAAUGAUUAUUGGAGAGAAUAUUCCUUUUCCCGCUUUAAUAUGUAUUAACUAGAGUGUACUCCGGCUUUUAUCAUCGAAACCACCAUCAGUUCACUCAACGGCUUUUUCAGUAAACGAAAUGUCGCUUACUUGGUAGUGAGUGGUUUCUUUGUAGCGCACACAGCGCACACCAUGUGUACAUUGUGAGAAUGGAUAUAAGAAAGAGCGUACCCUUGCAGUACAAAAAUUUUUGUCAAAUAGGACCAAAUGUGAAGUUCUGUCGCCGUGGCGGUUAUGAGGCUGGACUUUAUAAACCUACAGCGGUUGCUGAACAUGAACAUUUCAUAGGGACUCACGGAUUCGUUAGCUCUGUUGGAAGUAUUCACAGCGAUUGGACGGCCGAGUAGCGGUACUGCAUGGUAGAUCUUCAACCACACCAACUUGUAUGAUGAUGAUGAUAUUUUACCUCUCCGAUGACCAAUGUAUCUUUUGAGGCCACAGAGUCAGGACGAUGUGGCGUAGUUCGAUUUUUGUUGUCAUUUUUUUUCUUUACUUGAGGAUCAUCUUUGUCGACAGGGUUGUUUAAAUGGUAUAAUACUUUAUGUAGCCUAGUAACAUCUUCUGUGGAAAUCCUUUCAUUGCCUAAAAUACACCUUUACAUUUUGGACUAGUAGAAGAUGUGUACGAGCAUUGGACUAUUUCGUUUGUUUUCUCUGUCGUUCUGGUAAAUAAAAAACAUCCUAUGCAGUCUUCGUUCAAGGGUUGUUUAAAUGCUAGAGGGCGGCGUAGAAGGCAGCGGAAAAUGGAGGCCUGUGAUCCCCAGCUAUGUAUGUUAGAAUGAAUAUUAAUAUUCAAGUUGUAUCUCUGGGUCAACUAAAUCAUUCAUACUCUCGAUUAAGAAUGGGUGAUGUGAGAUGAGAAAUAACAACAAAAUGGGUCAGAUUAAACGUUGAAAUUUUAUCCUGUUAUAUCAUCAGUUAAACUCAAUAUUAAUCAGUCGAUAUUGUAGAUUUCUUUCUAUCAAAUAAUGCAACCAAGCUCGCUUGACACUGAAAACUAUAAACUUAAAUCAAACAUAAGAUCCAUGUGAAUUCCUAUAAAAAAUCAAACUACUGCAUCAUUCAUAAUGGCUUAUCAAUCCUAUACCUUUUAUUUGCACGUCUGCUGACAUUUCCUUCUUAGGAAUGCACUCCAGGCCAAUCCCCAUACUACCCAUACUAUAUGUAUUGAUAAACCCUUUAAAUGGAACGAGAAUAAAUAUUCAGGUGUGUUUGAUCUCGUGGGGCCUGGUCAAAUUUUUUUGAGGCUCUUGAAUUUAGUUUUGAUCGAUAGGGACGUAAUUAAUAUUAUAUGAACAGCAACGUAUAUUAAGGCAAUUCUAUGAAGGUGUAAAUAUUAUAAAAUUCUAAUGAGAUUGCUUGUAAAAGCAGUACAAUUAUCUGAUAACUUUAUCAACACCGGGAAAAGCAUUGCAUCUUUAUAAAAUAUAUAUACUAGGAAUAUUUUAAAAUUAUAAGAAAUUGGUGGAGUUUCUCCCUUGGUUAUCAGGGAUUUUGUCAUUUCAUUUUGAUUCGCUAGGGAUAUGUAGUUACGAUGCAAUAACUCCUUCAUCAAUUAUUUCUACUUUUACAUCCAUUCAGAGUAACAUAGGUGAGUUUGCGUCAAGGUCAUGGAGAGUCCAGUUACUGAGGUGAGCGAGUCUAUUUAUGGUAGGCGAGAGCAAUGUUUGCGUGAGGAUGAUACCCUUUGUUCGAUCAUGAUAUCAAAGAUGAAAAAUAAUUCAAUCUAGACUAAAACUGACAACAGUGUCUUAUAUUUUUCAAAUGUAAUUUCCGUUCUACUUUUGAUGUGAAAAUACCAUAAAAGAAUAACUAAAAAAAACAUCCUAUUAUAAUAGCCCUUUAUUUAUUUUUUUUUGUGCUGUUCAAUAGACGCUUGGAAAAUGCAUUUUUUUUCGAUCUUUGAAUUUUAUUUCGAUGCGACUCAGCAUGAUGUUUAAGCAAUAUGCAAGUGUAUAUCUAUUAUUUAUGUGUACGUCAGCGUGUAUGCCUGGUAGUAUGCCCUCUAAACUUCGGUGGAUGCACAAACGAGUUAAAUUGGCAUGAAGCGUGACCAGUGUCUCCACUUUUGUGCUUCCGUAUUUGUAAAUUAAUUGCUAUCACAAUCCCGCUAUUUGUGUCGUUGAACAUUAUUCAUCAAUUAUCUCUUAUAAGGGAAAAUUAUGUUAUUUAUCAAAAUGACUUUCUUUGAAAAGAUUUUCGUUUUUUAUGUACACAGAAUACUGUGAAUUUUUUGUGUCAACCUAUAAAAGGUUCUGUGGAAUAUUUCCUUUUGUAUGAUCUUAUUGACUUCGUUGAGCUGGUAAAAUAGAGAACCUGUAUUUCAAAACAUACACCAAGGGCAAAGUCGUUGGUGACGGGCAUCUAUGGGGCAGGGUAGGGGGAGCGGCAGCGCUAUGCUCGACGGGAAAGCGAGUUUAUUCCUAUACUAAAGUCAGUAUAAGUUUUAACAUCGGGUAUAACCCGAAGUCGCCCCUCACUUUUUCGCGCAUGCGCCAUGAAGCUAGUCUUCCGCCAAGGGCCUACUUUCAUAUUGUGUGCGCGUUUUUUGAAUUAAAAAAAUCCCACGAGAAAUUAUAAAUAUUUUUUCAUUCUGAACUGUAAAAUUUUUAUUCUUCAAUGGAGAGAACUGUAUUAGUGAAUAGCAUGAUUAUACGCUUUUAGACUUGAGGUUAUAUUAAAAUAUAAAAGUUUCAAUAAAAUUAAAAUUAAGAUAA
Molecule: long non-coding RNA, 6193 nt
Organism: Diachasmimorpha longicaudata
Lineage: Eukaryota; Metazoa; Arthropoda; Insecta; Hymenoptera; Braconidae
Exons: 3
Source: RefSeq, a predicted model, not a curated record